Long non-coding RNA from Gopherus flavomarginatus (Mexican gopher tortoise), 929 nucleotides. RefSeq lists it as uncharacterized. The transcript is spliced from 3 exons. Lineage: Eukaryota; Metazoa; Chordata; Testudines; Testudinidae. The record is from RefSeq and is a predicted model, not a curated record.
GAUGGAUAGAGGGUGUGUAUGGGGACAGAUGGAUGGAUGGAUGGAGGGUGUGCAUGGGGACGGAUGGAUAGAGGGUGCAUAUGGGGAUGGAUAGAUGGAUGGAUAGUGGGUGUGUAUGGGGAUGGAUGGAUGGAGAGAGGGUGCGUAUGGGGACGAACGGAUGGAUAGAUGGUGCGUAUGGGGACGGACAGACGGAUGGAUAGACGGAUGGAUGAAUGGAUGGAGGGUGCGUAUGGGGACGGAUGGAUGGAUAGGUGGUGCGUAUGGGGACGGACAGACGGAUGGAUGGAUGGAUGGAUAGAUGGAUGGAGGGUGCGUAUGGGGAUGGACGGAUGGAUAGGUGGUGCGUAUGGGGAUGGAUAGAUGGAUGGAUACUGGGUGUGUACAGGGACGGAUGGAUGGAGAGAGGGUGCAUAUGAGGAUGGAUAGAGGGUGCGUAUGGGGACAGAUGGAUGGAUAGAUGGUGCAUAUGGGGACGGACGGAUGGAUAGACGGAUGGAUGAAUGGAUGGAGGGUGCAUAUGGGGACGGAUGGAUGGAUAGAUGGUGCGUAUGGGGACGGAUAGACGGAUGGAUGGAUUGAUAGACGGAUGGAUGGAUGGAGGGUGUGUAUGGGGACGGAUGGAUAGAGGGUGCAUGGAUGGAUGGAUGGAUGGAGGGUGCGCAUGGGGACGGAUGGAUAGAGGGUGCAUAUGGGGAUGGAUAGAUGGAUGGAUAGUGGGUGUGUAUGGGGAUGGAUGGAUGGAGAAAGGGUGCAUAUGAGGAUGGAUGGAUAGAUAGAGGGUGCAUGGAUGGAUAGACGGAUGGAUGAAUGGAUGGAGGGUGCGUAUGGGGACGGAUGGAUGGAUAGGUGGUGCGUAUGGGGACGGACAGACGGAUGGAUGAAUGGAUGGAGGGUGCUUAUGGGGAUGGACGGAUGGAUAGGUGGUG